CGCGGGCCUCUCACUGUUGCGGCCUCUCCCGUUGCGGAGCACAGGCUCCGGACGCGCAGGCGCAGCGGCCAUGGCUCACGGGCCCAGCCGCUCCGCGGCAUGUGGGAUCUUCCUGGGCCGGGGCACGAACCCGUGUCCCGUGCAUCGGCAGGCGGACUCUCAACCACUGCGCCACCAGGGAAGCCCUUUCUGGAGAGACCUGAGGGCACGUGACCUAGGAAUGUGCAUCCCAAGAUAAUACUACCUUCAGAGAACUCUACUUAUAGAGGUGAGCCUUCCAUAAAUGACAAAGGAAAUUCAGGACACCAAGAAGAUGAUGUUUUCUUAUAGAAUCUAGCAAGAUGAUGUGUAAGGAUUUCAGAUGUGUAGCUCCUAUUAAAGUUGACAAGAGUUGUGCUAUUACAAUCCCCUCGUGACACUUUGCAUUACAUCCUGGGAAGUCUGAAGAAGGUGCCGAAGGAUCAUCAAAACACCAGCAUCACUUUGAUAAUCUUGUCACCAGAACUGUGAUGUUGAAUAAUGAAGAAAACAUUACCUGAUGAAGGCUUUUAUUUUAUGAUGGUAUCUCUGGAGACAGAGGAGACACAAAGGCUUAAAUGCCAUCUUCAAUUACAUCUUGGCCUUGGCAAGCUUUCAGCUGGUUUUGAUUUGCAUGGAAACCACAUUAUUUUUAAAACCUUAUAGAAAGAAGGAAGGAAGGAAGGAAGGUAGGAAGCUUUGACCUCGUUUUUUGGAGGCUUAACGGCUCUAAGUGACUUCCUCCUUUCCGAAUGCAGCUAGAGAGCAUGGUGUGCA
Long non-coding RNA from Physeter macrocephalus (sperm whale), 795 nucleotides. RefSeq lists it as uncharacterized. NCBI's taxonomy places the organism in Eukaryota, Metazoa, Chordata, Mammalia, Artiodactyla, Physeteridae. The record is from RefSeq and is a predicted model, not a curated record. The transcript is spliced from 5 exons.